RNAcentral lists this long non-coding RNA (450 nucleotides) under Sorghum bicolor (sorghum). RNAcentral's name for it is "long non-coding RNA (SBIC_LNC001894)". Lineage: Eukaryota; Viridiplantae; Streptophyta; Magnoliopsida; Poales; Poaceae. The record is from RNAcentral.
UGAACCCGCACAACGCGGCGCGCGCCGACGUCGGCGUCGGCCCGGUGUCGUGGGACGACACGGUGGCCGCGUACGCGCAGAGCUACGCGGCGCAGCGGCAGGGCGACUGCAAGCUGAUCCACUCCGGCGGUCCCUACGGCGAGAACAUCUUCUGGGGCUCCGCCGGCGCCGACUGGUCGGCGUCCGACGCCGUGGCGUCGUGGGUUUCCGAGAAGCAGUACUACAACCACGACACCAACAGCUGCGCGGACGGCAAGGUGUGCGGGCACUACACGCAGGUGGUGUGGCGUGACUCCACGGCCAUCGGCUGCGCCCGCGUCGUCUGCGACAACAACGCCGGCGUCUUCAUCAUCUGCAGCUACAACCCGCCGGGCAACUACGUCGGCCAGAGCCCAUACUAGACGUAGUAGUGUGCCGUAUGCAUGAAUUGAAUACAUGCAAGUAUACGUA